CUCAUUAAAUCAGUUAUAGUUUAUUUGAUAGUCUCUUUUGUUUCUCUUUUUUACCUACUUGGAUAACCGUGGUAAUUCUAGAGCUAAUACAUGCGUAAGGUCCCGAGCGCGGGGGAUGGGGCUUCACGGCUCUGUCCUCGCAUGCGCAGAGGGAUGUAUUUAUUAGGUUGAAAACCAGCGUAGCCAGCAAUGGCUACAAUCUCCUGGUGAUUCAUAGUAACUUUUUCGGAUCGCAUUCAUG
This 241-nucleotide ribosomal RNA is filed under the name uncultured Acanthamoeba. RNAcentral describes it as "partial 18S ribosomal RNA". It matches the Rfam family "Eukaryotic small subunit ribosomal RNA", at positions 97 to 279 of the family's 1831-position model. The record is from RNAcentral. Lineage: Eukaryota; Discosea; Longamoebia; Acanthamoebidae.